AACGCGAAGAACCUUACCUGGGCUUGACAUGCUGGUGAAAGCCGGUGGAAACACCGGGCCCUCUUCGGAGCGCCAGCACAGGUGCUGCAUGGCUGUCGUCAGCUCGUGUCGUGAGAUGUUGGGUUAAGUCCCGCAACGAGCGCAACCCUCGCUCCCAGUUGCCAGCGGUUCGGCCGGGGACUCUGGGGGGACUGCCGGCGUUAAGCCGGAGGAAGGUGGGGACGACGUCAAGUCAUCACGGCCCUUACGUCCAGGGCGACACACGUGCUACAAUGCCCGGUACAGCGCGUCGCGAACUCGCGAGAGGGAGCCAAUCGCUAAAAGCCGGGCUAAGUUCGGAUUGCAGUCUGCAACUCGACUGCAUGAAGCCGGAAUCGCUAGUAAUCGCGGAUCAGCCACGCCGCGGUGAAUCCGUUCCCGGGCCUUGUA
This 429-nucleotide ribosomal RNA is filed under the name uncultured delta proteobacterium. Its description in RNAcentral is "bacterial SSU rRNA". It matches the Rfam family "Bacterial small subunit ribosomal RNA", at positions 958 to 1385 of the family's 1533-position model. Lineage: Bacteria; Deltaproteobacteria. RNAcentral also lists the same sequence under 1 other name. The record is from RNAcentral.